Molecule: long non-coding RNA, 5263 nt
Organism: Cynoglossus semilaevis (tongue sole)
Lineage: Eukaryota; Metazoa; Chordata; Actinopteri; Pleuronectiformes; Cynoglossidae
Exons: 4
Source: RefSeq, a predicted model, not a curated record
UGUUCCUGAAAAAUGAAAUCUCUGCAGUCCCUCAAUCACUAUGUCGAGGAGGUGAUGAGGCAACCCAAUUGUACAGCAUCACUGACCAGCACUGAAUGCUCCACUGUACACAAUGGUCUUUUACCCACACCAUUAGAGUCUGAAAACCUGAGGAAUUCGACCACAUAGGGUGUUGACUGUCUCCAGGAACUUGGUCUGAAUGGGGUAGAAGAGUGACUGGAACAAGUUGUCUUCAAAGGGAAACUGCAGACACAGAGACAUUGAUUGUUACAAGUCUGACUUUCAGAGCGAACCUGAAAUACUUCCUAAAGAAGACAUCCUGAUAAGAUGCCACUUCAACCUCUACUGGCUCUUCUACAUGUCAAGAUUUCCCCACAUCUGGAAACAGUCAAGAAAGCACAGAAGAGGGAAAGGAGUACAUUUAUAACUGGCUGCAGAGCGAGCGUGUGCUGACUGCGCUCUCUCUGCUGAAGUCCAACAAAUAUGUGCAUGUAUUGUUAAACAGAGCCGUGUUGUUUAUUUCACUGGAAUGCAAAUGAGGCUGUAUUAAAACAUGUUCAACUUUUAACUUUGAACACAUUUCACUGAAGACGAGGCUGUAAGUGUGCACUUGGGAUUACAUGCAGCAAUUUGUACGUCUCUGAAGUUCAAGAAAAUACAGGCGCUACUUCUCUGAGGAAGCUGAUGCAACCAGAGAUACAACGGCAAAUUUGAGAUGAUUAGUCAUGGAAAGACCAUGACAUGACCACAAUCAGAAUCAUCUGGAAAAAAGGACAAUGUUGUAUGUUGUUGUAUGAGUAACUAAAGAGAAUGAUCCCAAAUAAUCAGGAUGUUGAGCUGAAUCACCAACACCAAAUAUUUAUCAUUUGCAGUCACCAAACAUGUGGUGAAGAUUAAAGGGCAUGUUCUAACUAAAAAUCUUAAAUCUAACAACAGAGUUGCACAUAAAUUUACCAAUCUCACGGAAACCUAUGGCAUUUUGCCUUUAUGUUGCCACACCCCACGCACGCUCUGUUAGCCCUUUUUUAGUAAUAACUUUUAGUAAUUUGUGAUUAAAUUUCAGAUUAAAAAUGUUAAUAAUUUGGCAGUCCUAUUUAAAGAAAACAAAGGAGUUGUACCUAUUGAACAAUAGGUACUACUUUAAAGGUUAGAGACAUUAACACCAAAUAUUUGGUUUGUUGUAAUUCUUUAAUCAAUACCAGAAAUCCCACCAUGCUUGUACUCGGGCCAAAUAGUUCUUCAUGCGUUAUUUGGUUCAAUAUUCAAUCAACUUCAGCAGAUUGCUCCUCAGUGAACCACGUAAUUACUACUGUGUGACCUUAAUCAUCUCCAAGAGCUGAGAUGCUAUUUCUGCUUGUCAAUUUUAACCAGCAUUUACAGUUGUUUUGCUAUGCAGUCUUUAUUUUGGCAUCUUUAUCUUUUUGCUUUAGAAAUUAAAUGGCUUGCAAUCUUUUGCUAAACAAAGUAAAUUGGGUGUCUUAGCUUGCUCUCUAACUGGCAACAAUUCCUGAACCAUGAGGAGGGUAAGUGGUAAACUUGUCCUUCUUUCCUUGUUGUGCUUGCCUGACAAAUCAAGAUUUUGUUUUCAAUGCAUUUUAUAGUGUGCACCACUUCCCUGGAAAUGGGUUUUGUACUUGAGAAAUGGUUUAGUAUUUUAUGGCAUGGUUUGGCAAACACAUUUGAUCUCUAAAAGUUUUUCUUUACCCAUAAAGAAAAACUUUUCAUCUGUAAUUUAACAUCUUCUGACAAUGGCCAUGACUCACUCUCAACAAUUCCUCACAGCACAAAAACAAACAUUGCUGCUUCUGCAGCCAAGGCUCAGAGGAGCAGCCUCUCUGGUCAGGUUACACAGGCCAGAAGGGAGAUUUUAAACUGCAGUUCACAUUUCAUAAGAGGUGAGGAGGGAUAAACAGUCAGAAUUUGUCCAAACUUAGAAAUGCAAAUUAUAAAUACUGAAAUACUGCAUUUGAUCACCAAAAAAGUAAAUUCAAGGUUGGUCAGCUGCAGUGUGAUGGAUGCAGCUUUUGUUUUGGCUUCUUUCCAUUUUAUUUGUUUUUUAUUCCUCUUCAGGUGUUGCAGAUUUUAUUAUCUCCAAAUUUGUACGGUUGCUCCUUCUAUUUUUGGCCACAGGAAGUUGUGUGAUGUGUCAAGAGGAAAUGAUAUGAUUAGCAAAAGCGGGAACAAAAGCGCGGCUCUCAGGAAACCUGACUGACACUCCUAUUUCCAAACGCCUGAGGCCUCAAAAGCGGAUAUCAGAAAUAGAGAUAAGGUACAAAUCACUGCCGAUUCCUACGACUUUUCUUUAUUAAUCAGAUUGAUGUAACUACCACAUGAAAGCUAUGUGUUAGUCACAUACUGCAAAGUAGCUUUCUAACCAAGUUGAUGUUUUUAAAAGCAGAAAGCUUUUGGAGCUUGUUCCAGGUGCUCCGGCUGUUCACUGACUGCAGCAGUCAGAACCAACCAUUUUCCAAACCUGUUAUGUUUUUUUAAUGGCCAGCAGUGACCCCUUCUACCCCAUCUCUCUUAUCAGCGCUCAGCACACACGGGGGAAUGUAGCUUCUGGGAGGACGUAAAAGUCCUUCCUCAAUGUAACGCCUUGAUGGCUUUUAUCUGCUAAACAUUGUCCCCAUCCUUCAGCAAGUCUUUGGAGUAGAAUACAUAUUACUGUCUGUCGGUGGAGAGGGUAUCUACACAACCACAUUGUGGCUGCUGUGGCAUCGCUGGCAUUCAACCCCAGAGGAAACGAAAUAAGGAAGGUGCUUCUAUCCUUGGACAGAAAUGGUAACACACGGUAAAGCUCCUCUGCCUUUAAAAAUGAAGUGUGUGUUCGUUCAUUGAAAGAAUCGACAGGAUGCAGCUGCUUUCUAAUCUCCCAACAAAAAUAAAUAAAUAAAAAAAAGAUGCCUGACCUGACAUCGUGUUGCCCCAAGACAAACAGAAACAGGUUUUCUAUUUAUGUAUUUUUUACAUAUCUCGUCAGUGCUGGUGCAAAACAGUUCCAGAGACAGCCAUAGGCAUUGUUUUUUCUUUAAAUGUCUCUCUACUCAAUGUCUCAGACAGGACUUAAAAAAAACAAAGACCUUGCAAAAGAGUAAAAAAACAAAAACAAACAGUGUUCGUGCAAUUGGUAGAAAAGUAACAAUUCCUGCAAAACACGUCAACACGCAUAUUUCCUUGCUUUUUAAGUGAUAUCAAAAACAACACAGUAAGGCUGCCACUUGUGACCACAUCAGACAUUCUGAGUAGAGAUUCCAGAGAGGAUUAUUAUCAGGUGCACUGUGAGAAUGCAGCAAUUCAGACAAAGGCAAAGAAAUUCAUACUUUGUUCUUUUUCCUUAACACCUGACAAUACACCUUACAAGUAAACACAUCAAUGCACCAAGAAUGAACGAUGCACACAAUGGUAACAACACGGCAGUUAUUAUUUGAUGACAGAAAAAAAACAUCUAACAAAUUUUAGAGUCUCCCAAGGGUUCUAUUGAAGAUCGGUGCUGCAUUUUAAAAUGGAAACUUGUUUUAUUUUCAUUUAUGCAAGAUAUGCCUGCAUUUUGGUUCCAUAGUGCAGCAGUUAGUGAAAGUGAAUUACUUAGUGAUUGUGACACAGCACACAACAAAAUGUGACCUCUGCUUUAACCCAUCACCAAAGUGAACAGUGGGCAGCUUUAAGCACCCGGGGAGCAGUGUGUGGGGACAGUGCCAUGCUCAGAGCACCACAGUGGUAACUUGGUACUCGAAUCUGAAGCCUUCUGGACCCAAGUCCGCUUCCUUAACCACUAAGCCACCACUGCCCUACUAGCACUGCUGCCCCUGAAACAGAGAGUCCUGGGUUCGAUAACCAGAGGAACCACAUGCUUGGCUCCAGCCAGGGGCAGCCUGUUACAGCAGAUCUGCUGUUAAUACAAGAAUUUCCCAAAUAUGGCAUAACUAAAGUUCAAAUUAUUAUUAUUAUUAUUAUUUCUGCAAUGCCUGUAAUUUAUUAUUAAACUUAUUCUAAAUGUCCAUCAAAUGCAUUACAUCAAAAUAAAUUUAGUUUUUUUCUGCAUCUGUUUAAAAAUAAAUUAAGAAAACCCAAGCAUAACCAAUUAUUUUAGCACCUUAGUGCCUUUUUUUUUUUUUCAACUACAACAAUGAUUGAGAUCUAGAGGUCAGAGGAUAUGAGUUCUGUACUGCUGUUGCCGUAUGACAUUCUCUCUGCAAAUACUGCAGACAUUUGCACAUAAUCACAUUAGUCAUGGUCUGUGCUCACAUCACUGCCAAAUAUUUACGCAGUGCCCUGAUUGGUACAGUGCAUUUCACUAGCCAAGCAACAACGUUGAAGAGUGGUCAUAGGGAGCACAGGAGUGUCACACUGGACAAUUAACAAUAGCAUUGUAAAUGUCUAUGUAUCCACACUUAAUAAAAAUUCAUGGAUUUAAAUGAAAAUAAUGGACACCACCAACAAGUGUCCAUUGAGAAUGCCAUGCUACACUCUUUAAAUUACUAUAUUAAGUGUGGUCAUUAAAACAGAAGCUAUCAAAACAGAGCACUUAUCUGAUGUGGAGCUUUGUCAGACUAGAAAAUAAGAACUUAAGAAAAAAGAUUUUAAAAAUGUACAACCUUUAAUCUGCAGUGUAAACAUUACAUAUUGCUCAUUUAUAAACACGGAUGUUUUUGCAAAAAGCAAAUUAUAAAUAUGUUCUGUAAUAGGGCAGAUCUGGUUGGACUUCACGGACAGUGGCUUCUGGCUCUCUGUAUCUAGGGAUGGUUGUUUUUGGCAUUUGCCUCGAGCUCAGGUUUAAGUUAUGGGACAAAGUUGCUCUGGAGUACGGGUUCAAAUUCAGUAUGAAACACUGCACUUGAUGAAUACUGCACUGUAUGACAUGCAAAUUCCCACUGUUGAGAGAAUUAUGGAAACACAUGUGCUUGCCAUCAAGUGGGGGGGAGCAAGGUUAACUGAGAACCAGAAGGUCAAAGAUGGAAUUCCAGCUGCAUAGCACCACGUCUCUGGACCAUCAUUUAACCCGUGGUACCUCAUCAUGCUCUGACCAGAUAGGUGUCCAACAGAGAUAAAUGGGAGGAGUGAAGGCCAUCUUGGCCAAAAUGACAUACAUAGUGUUUGCUCUGGCACCGCCUCAAGCAGACGACAGUAUGAUUCGUGAUCACUUCAGUCGGGGUUACCGUGACAGAAAAUGGUCAUCUGGUUCUGUACCUCAAUAAGCCUAGUAACGUAGACAAAUGCAGGGGAGGCAGAGUGAUUGGAGCAUCGCUGUAAAUAGGGAUGGUCC